Long non-coding RNA from Thalassophryne amazonica, 240 nucleotides. RefSeq lists it as uncharacterized. Lineage: Eukaryota; Metazoa; Chordata; Actinopteri; Batrachoidiformes; Batrachoididae. The record is from RefSeq and is a predicted model, not a curated record. The transcript is spliced from 3 exons.
AGCCAAUUUGGGUAUUUGGAUCCAAUUUUCUCAAAAACUGUCCGAUAACUUUUCUUUUAAUUUAACAAGGGCAUGAGAUUGGUCAUUGACAUUAUUCCCAUCCCAGAAUUAUUAGUGUAGAUUCAUUUGUUUGGAAAUGGCAGCCAUUUUUAUGCCGAAAAUGGCCAUUUUGCCUUGGCUUUAAUUGAGCCGGUAACCUACAGGGCCCUUGGCACUCUAGUUUUAAAUGUCAAACUUUGU